ACAUGCAAGUCGAACGAAGUAGCAAUACUUAGUGGCGAACGGGUGAGUAUAAUGUGGGUAUCUGCCCUUUGGUUUGGAAUAACACGAGGAAACUUGUGCUAAUACUGGAUAAGCCUUAACAGGGAAAGCUUUAGCGCCAAAGGAUGAGCCCGCACUUGAUUAGCUAGUUGGUAAGGUAAAAGCUUACCAAGGCUACGAUCAAUAGCUGAUCUGAGAGGAUGAUCAGCCACAUUGGGACUGAGACACGGCCCAAACUCCUACGGGAGGCAGCAGUGGGGAAUCUUGCACAAUGGGGGAAACCCUGAUGCAGCGAUGCCGCGUGAGUGAAGAAGGCCCUUGGGUUGUAAAGCUCUUUCGUCGGGGAAGAAAAUGACUGUACCCGAAUAAGAAGGUCCGGCUAACUUCGUGCCAGCAGCCGCGGUAAUACGAAGGGACCUAGCGUAGUUCGGAAUUACUGGGCUUAAAGAGCACGUAGGUGGUUAGAAAAGUUGGUGGUGAAAUCCCAAGGCUUAACCUUGGAACUGCCAUCAAAACUUUUUAACUAGAGUAUGAUAGAGGUAAGUGGAAUUUCUAGUGUAGAGGUGAAAUUCGUAGAUAUUAGAAAGAACACCAAUUGCGAAGGCAACUUUCUGGAUCAUUACUGACACUGAGGUGCGAAAGCAUGGGUAGCGAAGAGGAUUAGAUACCCUCGUAGUCCAUGCUGUAAACGAUGUGUGCUAGACGUUGGAAAUUUAUUUUUUCAGUGUCGCAGCAAAAGCGUUAAGCACACCGCCUGGGGAGUACG
This 784-nucleotide ribosomal RNA is filed under the name uncultured Pelagibacteraceae bacterium. Its description in RNAcentral is "bacterial SSU rRNA". It matches the Rfam family "Bacterial small subunit ribosomal RNA", at positions 53 to 884 of the family's 1533-position model. Lineage: Bacteria; Pseudomonadati; Pseudomonadota; Alphaproteobacteria; Candidatus Pelagibacterales; Candidatus Pelagibacteraceae. The record is from RNAcentral.